GAAAUAAUGUGUUCAAUGUACUUCUUAUCACAUUAUUGGAAGUUGUUGUAAACGAACCUCCUGCUUUUUCUUCAUUGUUGCUGCUGCUGCUGCUACUAAGUCGCUCCAGUCGUGUCUGACUCUGUGCGACCCCAUAGACGGCAGCCCACCAAGUUCCCCUGUCUCUGGGAUUCUCCAGGCAAGAACACUGAAGUGGGUUGCCAUUUCCUUCUCCAAUGCAUAAAAGUGAAAAGUGAAAGUGAAGUCUCUCAGUCAUGUCCGACUCUUAGCGGCCCCAUGCACUGCAGCCCACCAGGCUCCUCUGCCCAUGGGAUUUUCCAGGCAAGAGUGCUGGAGUGGGUUGCCAUUGCCUUCUCCGUUUCUUCAUUGUUUAGCGAACUUAAUUCUAAGGAAUUGCUCUCAGAACUUCUGCUACUAAAGUCUUUUUCAGUGGUCUUCAGCCUUUAUUUGAAAAAUGUGAGAGAAAAGUGGAUACCGGAGAUAAUUCACCAUUGUUUGAAGACUCUUCAUUGGAACCAAAAUUGAUCUCAGAAAUGGGAUACCCUCUAUUAUCGAGAAACUUUUCAAAAACAGAAAUGUCUCACUCCUCAGACUGCUGAAAUGCCUCACUCCUCAGACUGCUGAAAUGCCUGUGACCUGAAGGCUGUCAAAUACAUGGAGUGUUUCACACAGAAAAACCUAAAGGAUGCAUUUGACAAAGCACUAUUGACUGCCUCAGAGACUGUGGAACUGAAGAAAAGCCAUAGGCAGAGGUGCCCACUGGGCUUUUGGACACAGCAUUUUCCCAACGUCACUGCCUGGUAUACUCUAUUUGAGGGAAAAUUAUCAACCUGUUAUUGAGUGCUGGUGGACACUGAGAAGCCAACUAAGUAAGUAAUAACAUGAUAUGUUAUUCUCUGACAUGCCCAUUCUGGAAUAG
This is a long non-coding RNA of Bos taurus (domestic cattle), 919 nucleotides long. NCBI's taxonomy places the organism in Eukaryota, Metazoa, Chordata, Mammalia, Artiodactyla, Bovidae. The record is from Ensembl.